AAAUUGAAGAGUUUGAUCAUGGCUCAGAUUGAACGCUGGCGGCAGGCCUAACACAUGCAAGUCGAACGGUAACAGGAAGCAGCUUGCUGCUUCGCUGACGAGUGGCGGACGGGUGAGUAAUGUCUGGGAAACUGCCUGAUGGAGGGGGGAUAACUACUGGAAACGGUAGCUAAUACCGCAUAACGUCGCAAGACCAAAGAGGGGGACCUUCGGGCCUCUUGCCAUCGGAUGUGCCCAGAUGGGAUUAGCUAGUAGGUGGGGUAACGGCUCACCUAGGCGACGAUCCCUAGCUGGUCUGAGAGGAUGACCAGCCACACUGGAACUGAGACACGGUCCAGACUCCUACGGGAGGCAGCAGUGGGGAAUAUUGCACAAUGGGCGCAAGCCUGAUGCAGCCAUGCCGCGUGUAUGAAGAAGGCCUUCGGGUUGUAAAGUACUUUCAGCGGGGAGGAAGGCGAUAAGGUUAAUAACCUUGUCGAUUGACGUUACCCGCAGAAGAAGCACCGGCUAACUCCGUGCCAGCAGCCGCGGUAAUACGGAGGGUGCAAGCGUUAAUCGGAAUUACUGGGCGUAAAGCGCACGCAGGCGGUCUGUCAAGUCGGAUGUGAAAUCCCCGGGCUCAACCUCGGGAACUGCAUUCGAAACUGGCAGGCUAGAGUCUUGUAGAGGGGGGUAGAAUUCCGGUGUAGCGGUGAAAUGCGUAGAGAUCUGGAGGAAUACCGGUGGCGAAGGCGGCCCCCCUGGACAAAGACUGACGCUCAGGUGCGAAAGCGUGGGGAGCAAACAGGAUUAGAUACCCUCGGUAGUCCACGCCGUAAACGAUGUCGACUUGGAGGUUGUGCCCUUGAGGCGUGGCUUCCGGAGCUAACGCGUUAAGUCGACCGCCCUGGGGAGUACGGCCGCAAGGUUAAAACUCAAAUGAAUUGACGGGGGCCCGCACAAGCGGUGGAGCAUGUGGUUUAAUUCGAUGCAACGCGAAGAACCUUACCUACUCUUGACAUCCAGAGAACUUUCCAGAGAUGGAUUGGUGCCUUCGGGAACUCUGAGACAGGUGCUGCAUGGCUGUCGUCAGCUCGUGUUGUGAAAUGUUGGGUUAAGUCCCGCAACGAGCGCAACCCUUAUCCUUUGUUGCCAGCGGUUAGGCCGGGAACUCAAAGGAGACUGCCAGUGAUAAACUGGAGGAAGGUGGGGAUGACGUCAAGUCAUCAUGGCCCUUACGAGUAGGGCUACACACGUGCUACAAUGGCGCAUACAAAGAGAAGCGACCUCGCGAGAGCAAGCGGACCUCAUAAAGUGCGUCGUAGUCCGGAUUGGAGUCUGCAACUCGACUCCAUGAAGUCGGAAUCGCUAGUAAUCGUGGAUCAGAAUGCCACGGUGAAUACGUUCCCGGGCCUUGUACACACCGCCCGUCACACCAUGGGAGUGGGUUGCAAAAGAAGUAGGUAGCUUAACCUUCGGGAGGGCGCUUACCACUUUGUGAUUCAUGACUGGGGUGAAGUCGUAACAAGGUAACCGUAGGGGAACCUGCGGUUGGAUCACCUCCUUA
This 1546-nucleotide ribosomal RNA is filed under the name Enterobacter hormaechei. Its description in RNAcentral is "bacterial SSU rRNA". It matches the Rfam family "Bacterial small subunit ribosomal RNA". The record is from RNAcentral. Lineage: Bacteria; Pseudomonadati; Pseudomonadota; Gammaproteobacteria; Enterobacterales; Enterobacteriaceae.